This 480-nucleotide ribosomal RNA is filed under the name uncultured soil bacterium. RNAcentral's name for it is "bacterial SSU rRNA". It matches the Rfam family "Bacterial small subunit ribosomal RNA", at positions 26 to 506 of the family's 1533-position model. The record is from RNAcentral.
AGAUUGAACGCUGGCGGCAUGCUUUACACAUGCAAGUCGAACGGUAACAGGCCGCAAGGUGCUGACGAGUGGCGAACGGGUGAGUAAUGCAUCGGAACGUGCCCAGUCGUGGGGGAUAACGCAGCGAAAGCUGUGCUAAUACCGCAUACGAUCUAUGGAUGAAAGCGGGGGACCGAAAGGCCUCGCGCGAUUGGAGCGGCCGAUGUCAGAUUAGCUAGUUGGUGGGUAAAGGCCACCAAGGCGACGAUCUGUAGCUGGUCUGAGAGGACGACCAGCCACACUGGAACUGAGACACGGUCCAGACUCCUACGGGAGGCAGCAGUGGGGAAUUUUGGACAAUGGGCGCAAGCCUGAUCCAGCAAUGCCGCGUGCAGGAAGAAGGCCUUCGGUUGUAAACUGCUUUUGUACGGAACGAAACGGUCGUGGUUAAUACCUACGGCUAAUGACGUACCGUAAGAAUAAGACACCGGCUAACUACGU